ACAGGAUUAGAUACCCUGGUAGUCUACACUGUAAAUUCUGAGUGCUGUAAUUUAACAAAUUGUGUUAGAUUUUUAAGCUAACGCCAUAAGCACUCCGCCUGAGGAGUACGAUCGCAAGAUUGGAACUCAAAGGAAUUGACGGGGGCCUACAACAAGUGGUGGAGCAUGUGGUUUAAUGCGAUAAUCCGCGCAAAACCUUACCAACCUUUGACAUAUUAAAAAUUUUUAAUUAAUAAAAAUUAAAUUAAAAACUAUUUUUACAGGUGUUGCACGACUGUCGUCAGCUCGUGUCGUAAGAUGUUUGGUUUAUUCCUUUAACGAGCGCAACUCUUAUCUUUAAAAAGUUUUUAACUUACAAAAGUUUCGUGUAUAUGAGACUUUUUAAGGCUUUAAAAGAAACUAUCAAUGAUAAAUUGGAGGAAGGUGAGAAUUAAGUCAAGUCCCUGUGGCCCUUAUAGGUUGGGCUACACACGUGCUACAACGG
Molecule: ribosomal RNA, 484 nt
Filed under: uncultured Chaetoceros
Lineage: Eukaryota; Bacillariophyta; Thalassiosirophyceae; Chaetocerotales; Chaetocerotaceae
Description: partial Bacterial small subunit ribosomal RNA
Rfam family: Bacterial small subunit ribosomal RNA
Source: RNAcentral